RNAcentral lists this ribosomal RNA (890 nucleotides) under uncultured bacterium. Its description in RNAcentral is "bacterial SSU rRNA". It matches the Rfam family "Bacterial small subunit ribosomal RNA", at positions 8 to 915 of the family's 1533-position model. The record is from RNAcentral.
AGAGUUUGAUCAUGGCUCAGGAUAAACGCUAGCGGUGUGCAUUAUGCAUGCAAGUCGAACGGUCUAUCGCAAGAUUGACAGUGGCAAACGGCUGAGUAACACGUAAGCAACCUGUCCUUAAGUGGGGAAUAAUCCGCCGAAAGGCGGACUAAUACCGCAUGUGGUAGUGGGGGUAGGUUUUCACUACUAAAGCUUUCGAGCGCUUGAGGAGGGGCUUGCGUCCUAUCAGGUAGUUGGUGGGGUAACGGCUCACCAAGCCAAAGACGGGUAGCUGGUCUGAGAGGACGUCCAGCCAGACGGGGACUGAGACACGGCCCCGACUCCUACGGGAGGCAGCAGCAGGGAGUUUUGCGCAAUGGGCGAAAGCCUGACGCAGCAACACCGCGUGAGGGAAGAAGGCCUUCGGGUUGUAAACCUCUUUUCUCAGGGAAGAAUAAUGACGGUACCUGAGGAAUAAGUCACGGCUAACUACGUGCCAGCAGCUGCGGUAAUACGUAGGUGGCAAGCGUUAUCCGGAUUCACUGGGCGUAAAGAGCGCGUAGGUGGUCUUGCAAGUCAUAUGUUAAAUCUCCCGGCUUAACUGGGAGUUGUCAUCUGAUACUGCUGGACUUGAGGGCGGUAGAGGGAGGUGGAAUUCCCGGUGUAGUGGUGAAAUGCGUAGAUAUCGGGAGGAACACCAGUGGCGAAAGCGGCCUCCUGGGCCGUUCCUGACACUGAGGCGCGAAAGCGUGGGGAGCGAACAGGAUCAGAUACCCUGGUAGUCCACGCCCUAAACUGUGGAGACUAGGUACAGGGAGUAUCGACCCUUUCCUGCGCCGCAGCUAACGCGUUAAAGUCUCCCGCCUGGGGGACUACGGUCGCAAGAACUAAAAACUCAAAUGAAAUUGACG